AGUUUCUUGAUGAAGUAGAAAUUUCUGGACCACCACCUCUUCCAGAAGCUCAAAUUAAAUCACUGCCAACCAAAACAAUCUCAAAGGAACAUGUAGAUAAAGGUGUACAGUGUACGGUUUGCAUGGAUGAUUUCGCUUUGAGAGAAAAAGUUAAAUGCCUACCAUGUCAACAUUUUUACCAUGAAAAAUGUAUAACUCCAUGGCUAGAAAGGCAUGCCACAUGUCCAAACUGUCGGGAAACCAUAAAGAUUCAGCCAAACUGUAGGGGCAGACGAUCUGUUAGCUGUCCAAGGUCAAGCAGACAUUCAGAUGAAGAAAGUCAACACAACUCAGACUCUUCAGCUUCCUCAUCAUCAUCGUCCUCGCUCAGUGAUUUUUUCUCAACCAGUAUAAAUCCAUUUCGAUUUUUGCAUUAGGAAGGUGGUGUAUGAUA
Long non-coding RNA from Uloborus diversus, 433 nucleotides. RefSeq lists it as uncharacterized. The record is from RefSeq and is a predicted model, not a curated record. The transcript has 3 exons. NCBI's taxonomy places the organism in Eukaryota, Metazoa, Arthropoda, Arachnida, Araneae, Uloboridae.